UUAUUUGUAAUUCAAUACUUUUUUCUUUUAAUUCAUACUGUACUUCCAUGGCUCUAGCUACUUUACAUUAAGAUUUGGCUGGGUAGCCUUGUAUGUUUCUAGGUACUAGCAGUAAGUUUUCAGACCUUGCGCACAGCGCCAGGCAAAGUACAGUUACAGAUCCAAAUACAGACGGCCAGACAACUCAACUGCAAUAGACCUGUGUUCUUUCCUGUAUAUAUGGCCCAGUUCAGGUGUUGGGGGCUGUUCCCUCUGCCUCACCCACUCCAACCCAUGUCAGGAUUAUGUAGGGCCUGAUAUGGCCUCUGAUCCAUCCCUCCCCACCUUGGAGCCUAAGUUGAGGGGUGGGGGGGAAGCACCAUGGGUUUGGGAAGAUGGUCUGGUCCAUGCAGAGAGUGGUCUGGCCCUAGAGUGCUGGGCAAGAAAAUGUGGGGAGCCACAUUCUUUUGUUGGCAAAAAUGGUUACUUUUACUGUGCAGUCUCUGCACAUGGCAACCAAGCCCAGGGCCAACUGCCCAGACAAAGCCAGCUGUCCUGCCUGAGGCAUGCACUGCCAUUUUGCUUCUGCAAUGUCUUAUUGUGUUGAGAGAAGCAAGGAGGGCCAGGGGGCAGAGAUGACAAAGUCCUUCAAGCCUUCAUAUGUUGGGGAGAUCAUCUGGCAUCAACAAAUCUUGGCAGGCAAGGUGCUUCUCACCAGGAGCCAAAGCUUCCAAUCUGGACUCCCAGGCCUGCUGAGGACCUCGAGUCUCAAGACCCCUGAGCUGUUGCACAGAACAUCAAAACAGGGAGCUGGCUGGGCCCAUCACAGCCAUGGCCGGAGCAGGAGUGAGGUAACAAGGCUGGGCAGAGAGGUGGGAAGGGGAGCUCUCUACACCAUGUGCAAAUUCCUGCUCCACAUCAGGAAAGCAGGGGUGUUGAAAGAUGGCCUUCCAGAAAUAUACUCCUUGUAGACCCAAAAUGCAUCUUCUGGAAGAAGACACAGAGGUGAGAGGGAGUGGGGCCAGCCUGCUGGAGAUUGGGUGAGGAAGGAUCUAGAAUGUCAAGGGAUGAUUGUCCCACAGUCUACAGACUAGGGAUGGGGAGGAAAGGGGUCAGGGAGAGGCCUUUGCAAUUCUUACUGCAGUGGAGAGGUGGGGUCCAGGAGUUCUAAGAGGGAGACCACAGCCCUGCCAUGGAGGGGAAGAGAGGAGAGUGCUACUUCUCCUGGGGGCCCUAGCAGGAAUGGGCUGGCUUUGGCUACCCUGCAGAGCCAAAGAAGUGGUAUCAUAUGGCACAGAAAGGACCUUUCUGGGACCACAAACAGUCCAGAAAGAUUCUGCCUCUAGUCAUUUCUCCAAGAUCUCAUCUUAGAGAUGCUGCCUGCAAAUACCAUAGGUACAGUCCAAGUGUGGGGACAGGGAUGGGACAUGGAGAGAAUCCACUUCUAGCAAAGAGUUCCUCUUAAGGGCUCUUGAUCGUCCCUACUCCUUGUAAUCCCAGGUUCUUAGUGCCAGUGCCCUUGGGCCAUCCAAGGACUUUCUCUAAACCCCAGCAGGGUUUUGGUUGAGCAAAAAAAAAGUGCUAAACCAGAAAGGGCUUCUCUCCACUGUGCCCUCUGUCAAUGAGGAGCAAGAAUAGAUAGAUGAAAGGCUUCACAGUGCCUACAGAUGGAAGAUAGGCUCAGUCCAAGAUGCUGCUCUUCUUACCAUCAUUCUCUUCCUUCUAGCUUAGCAGAAGUUCCCUUCCCAAACAAAAACUAAGCCAAAGAAGGAACAAACACUCCUAGGUUAAUACUGAGCAACAUUCUCUCUAACACUGGGCCUUUCUAUCCCUCCUCAACCCUAAGAACAAAGUCUAACUAGCUUAGGUUUCUUGGGAAUCCACACAGUGGCCUACUGCCUACUAUACAGCAGAGAAGCUCUAGCCUGGCAGACUAUUCCAUCCUGGCAGAGGACCUUCCAGUUCUGACAAAGCCCAGUCUUGCAGGCUCUGGCCUAAUACAAAGUCAAAGCCAAAGCUAGAGCCUGCCCUAGAGAUGGUCUCCCUUAGCCUCCUCCUGUGACAGGCAUGUACUGAGGCUCUGUGAUGGGGAAUGACUCAGACCCAGUCUCCUGACUUUUGGUUCAGUGCUCUUUCUGAGUCACUGAUCUUGCUGGCCUGAGAUGUUGGCCCCUUGUCCUGGGGAGGCAGACAGGGAAGGGGGAGAGUUGCAGACAUGAGUGGCUUUUCCGAGGACAAUCUGGUCAGCUACUCCACGGUAAGCUGGAGGGGAAGGUAGACCCUGUCGUUAUGCUUCCCCUGGUUAGAAACUGUGAAUUCCUUAGAAUUAAGUGCAAAGUCUUAUGUGUGUUACUACAUGAAUCCUCACAGAUAAACAUCCAUGUGGUCCCAGUGUUUCCAUGUCAACAAAAAUAAAACGUACUGGCUUGGAGAAGUAACACAAGAAGCAGUGGCUUUGACGCUUUUUUGCAGACAGCUACAUGCCAGGCUACUAGCCAAGGAUCACAAUGCCAUGUUUCUGUCUCACUCCCAGACUUGUCCAUAAGGGUGAGUUUCUUUCUCCUUCACAAGUUAUUGAGUAAGGGGAAUCAUACUUUGCUUGGGAAUGAAUAGAGUUGUUGGUCUUCUGGCUUAAAAGCCAAAACAAUUAAUAGAACAGAGAGCUCUCAAGAGAUCCAUGAUUCUUAGGGGACAUUCUCCACAUGAACACAUUGUCUCAUGGGCGCAAAU
Molecule: long non-coding RNA, 2709 nt
Organism: Heterocephalus glaber (naked mole-rat)
Lineage: Eukaryota; Metazoa; Chordata; Mammalia; Rodentia; Bathyergidae
Source: Ensembl